GGGCUUCAUAGUCUUGCAAUUGGAAUGAGUAGAUUUUAAAUCUCUUUACGAGUAUCAAUUGGAGGGCAAGUCUGGUGCCAGCAGCCGCGGUAAUUCCAGCCCCAAUAGCGUAUAUUAAAGUUGUUGCGGUUAAAAAGCUCGUAGUUGGAUUUCUGCCAAGAACGACCGUCCUACCUUCGGGUUUUGGACCGUGCUGAUCGAGGCAUUCUUCUAGAUUCUAUCUACUCUUAAUUGCUGUAGAAUUGAACUAGAACAUUUACUUUGAGGAAAUUAGAGCGUUUCAAGCAGGC
This 290-nucleotide ribosomal RNA is filed under the name uncultured Perkinsea. RNAcentral's name for it is "partial small subunit ribosomal RNA". It matches the Rfam family "Eukaryotic small subunit ribosomal RNA", at positions 488 to 785 of the family's 1831-position model. Lineage: Eukaryota; Perkinsozoa. The record is from RNAcentral.